AGGAUGAAAGGAGGCAAGGCGAUGGGCCCUGAUUGUAUCCCCAUUGAGGUGUGGAAAGGUCUCGGGGACAUAGCGAUAGUAUGGCUAACCAAACUUUUCAACCUUAUUUUUCAGGCAAACAAGAUGCCAGAAGAAUGGAGACCGAGUAUAUUAGUACCAAUCUUCAAGAACAAGGGGGAUGUUCAGAGUUGUACUAAUUAUCGUGGAAUUAAGCUGAUGAGCCAUACAAUAAAGCUAUGGGAGAGAGUCAUUGAGCACCGCUUAAGAAGAAUGACAAGCGUGACCAAAAAUCAGUUUGGUUUCAUGCCUGGGAGGUCGACCAUGGAAGCC
RNAcentral lists this ribosomal RNA (330 nucleotides) under Triticum aestivum (bread wheat). RNAcentral's name for it is "partial small subunit ribosomal RNA". Lineage: Eukaryota; Viridiplantae; Streptophyta; Magnoliopsida; Poales; Poaceae. The record is from RNAcentral.